RNAcentral lists this ribosomal RNA (1049 nucleotides) under Triticum aestivum (bread wheat). Its description in RNAcentral is "partial small subunit ribosomal RNA". The record is from RNAcentral. Lineage: Eukaryota; Viridiplantae; Streptophyta; Magnoliopsida; Poales; Poaceae.
CGCGUGUCAAAUCUUCCCAUUAUCCGCGCGAUCCCCUAGCCAUCUACCAUGGCCCGCCUCCUCGCGCGAACCCUAACCCUAGGCCGCCCGGCCGCUCCGGGGUCCUCCCUGCAGCCCCACCGCGCCCUCUCAGACAAGGUGGAGCUGAUCGAGAUCGACCUCUCCGAGGAAUCCGCCUCCUCCACCUCAUCCGGCGACUCCGCGGAGGAGCCGAUGGGGAUGGGGCGCCUGAACGACGCCAUCCGCGGUGUCCUAGUGCGGCGGGCCGCUCCGGAGUGGCUCCCCUUCGUGCCUGGGGGAUCGUACUGGGUGCCGCCGAUGCGGCGGCCGCUCGGGGUGUCCGAUCUCGUCGGCACGGUCGUCUACAGCGCGAGGGGCGCCGUCGAUACGGCGGAGAUGGCGAGAGCCACCAUGGUUAAGGCCGCGAUGACUAAGGAGGAGGCCAUGUGCUUCACCACGCAGCGGGGCUGGCCGUCAGAGGCCUAUUUCGUCCAAGGGAAAGUUUGGCAUCCAGUGAAGAAGUCAAGGAAAAAUGCUAAAACUGAUGAUGAGGAAAGCUAAUUUGUCCUUGCAAGUUUACCUGGGAUCCCCAGGUGGACACAGGAAGACUCAGCUCGGAGAAGUAAAACCCUGCUGAUGGCUGUACAUAUAGACGAUAUAGGUGUCUUAACAGACCCUAGCGACAAUAAUGAGCCGCCUCAUCGCCCGUCUCUUCUUGGUAGAUCAUGCGUGCUUAAGAUGAAAUAUGAUGAAUUUGUAUUACAACACAGCCUAGUGUCAUGUGCCCUUUGACUGCUCUCUGAGCUGAAGUUGUAUGAUGUACCAACUAUUCUUUGUGGAUUAUUUCUGCUUGUACGGGCACCCGUCAGCUCCACGGGUUGUCGGCGUCAGUUGGCAUAUUUUGCGCAGGAAAAGAAGACUGUUCCUUUCUGUCAUUUCCAUGUCGGCCACUCCAAAUAAACUCUGUGGGGAGAUGUCAUUAUCACUGUUUGAUCCACAUAAUUUAAGAUCAGCCAUUUGAUUUAUCUUUUGUCUUUUCAUCACCCAAG